CGGCGGCCACGUGACAGGGGGGUCACGCGCAGGGUCGUAGGGGACCGCCUGGGGAUCCCCGGACGGCUGCGAGGAAUGAGCGGUUGGCUCGGGCUGGUUUCCUCCCUCCACCGCCUGCUUGUUUCGCCAUGCCCGGGCCGGACGGUGGGGCUGCAGCGGCGAAAGCGACUGAAGUCCGGGAGCAGUCGCAUGAGCUUCCCGGUCACCAGGAGGCCCCGGGAACAGACACCUCACCCUGACAUUGUGGCAGGAACUUCUGGAUUGCUUUCCAAAGUGGCUGCACUGUUUUCUAUCCCCACUGGUAAAUGGCAGGAAAACAUCUAAGAAAGGAGGCUCCCCCCUUCCCUUGCAGGGUUACCAGCAAUUAAAAAGAAGUACUAGAGAGGCAAAUAUCGGCAGUAUACAUCUAAGCGCUGGUCGGAAAAGAAGGAACUCAGCCCAAGAACUUGCCCAAUCUGAUACUGGAGGUGCCACUCAAGAACCACUCCCUCCAAGAUGUUUUCCUGGAUUUCCUCAGCCUAAAGUAAUCCCUCUUUUUCCUGGGCUAUACCAUCUGGAACAGAUGACUUCCAAGGACACCGUAGCAAAGAAAAAGAGAACUGGAAGCCCAUGUGCCUUAAUCGCUUCAUCCUAGAGGUAACACAGAACUUCUGCAUACAUUUCAUUGGCAGGAACUAAUCACCUAACCCCAAUUUAACCACAAGGAAGACUGGGAUAUGUAGAGGCAUAGCUAGUAGAUUUCACGUCUAUUAACAGUCUCUGCUAUACCCCCUCAGUACCAACUGACCACUAACUUCCCACCCCACUCACCAGGAAUGUAUAGCUGCUGAUGAUUUUCGAAUUCGGUAAGAGACUGGAUUGUGAAUAUCAGACCACCUCUUCAGUCUAACAGACAGUGCUUGUUUUACCUAAGGUGAGGAGACAGCACAGGCAGUACUCACUUGUUUGUCAGUUACAGUCCUUUUCCUCUCCCUCUCUCAUUACUCACCAUGAAACACACAUUGUCCCUUCUACUUCUGUCCCAAGCGUCACACUCAUAAGAACAUAAGAAGUGCCCCCAGAUCAAACAAGAGUGCUUGAAUAGAAAGUGAGAUAUUUCUUCUUUAUAAGGUUGACCUUACAAGGCUGAGGCAGGCUAUGCCUAAUUAUGUAGGGACCCUAAUGUCUCAUGGUUGUGUCAGCAUAAAUUAAUUAAUGAUUAACCCUCUAACAAGGCUAAGUGAACAGAAUUCCCCAGUGUCCUGAGAGAAGGAAAGUUAAUGUGUUCUUUCUCCCAGGAGGAGGAUAACCAGUGGAGCCUUUUCUGGAUUUCUCACUAGAAGUAAAGACCAAAUUUCCAGAAGGAACCUGAGAGAUAAAAAGUGGUUGGCUGCUCCUGACCUGACUCAUAGUGUUUAACUGAACCAUACCACUAGUGUAUACUAGUGUGUGUGUAUGUACAUGCAUACACACAUGCACACACACAUUCACACACAAUCCUAUGGUAUUUGGUGACUUUGGAUGCCCAGCUCUUGCAACAAUUUCCUGCUGUCAUUCUUUUCCCUUUGAAUCUCAGGGGUGAGCAAACUAAAGAAAUACUAUCAUCUUACUGCUUUUAGUAUAUUCCAUAGAAAAGGAGUGGCUGGAGUCAGUGUAGAUCAACCCAAGCAGUACAAAUCUGCCAGAAUUGCAGCUCAGCUUCCUUACCUCCAGCAUGUGUACCUUUCUGAAGGGUAGGCCCUUAAGCCAGACAUAAGUAAGUUAUCCACUCUGUGCAUAACUGUCUGACUUGGCUUAGAAGCAUGAAAGGGGCAGAAAUGUAAGAUGGGUAAAGAAGGGCUUCAUCUGAAAUAGGGCCAUGAUGAUUAGCUCUCUCUUUCCUUCCUUUGGCUUCAUUGCUGUAUUCCAUGUGGGUCUUGAUAUCUUGAAACUGGAUGAGAUACCCAAAUAGUCAGUCCCUGAAUAUAAAUCAUUUCCUUGUACAGAAUCACUGCCAAACUCAGUAUGGUUAAAAGAUUUUUAACACCCAGCUGCAGCAUUCACUCUGGUUAGAAUUGGCCAUUUAAAUUUAUUUCACAUAUGUAAGUAUCAUAUCCUUUAUAAUGCAUUCUUAAUUGUUGCUCAGUUCUUCCAGAUUGAAUUCCUUUAAAAAAUUCCUUAUGUAAUCUUUUAAUUCUAGUUGGAAAACAUCACUUGACAGUUGCUGUUUAUACAGGCAUGCCUCGUUUUAUUGUGCCUGGCUUUAUUGUACUUUGCAGAUACUGUGUUUUUCACAAAUGGAAGGUUUGUGGCAACCCUGCGUUAAGCAAGUCUGUUGGCACCAUUUUCUCGACAGCAUGUGCUAACUUUGUCUCUGUCUCACAUUUUGGUAAUUCUCUCAAUGUUUCAAACUUUUUCAUUAUGAUUACAUCUGUUAUGUGGAGCUGUGAUCAGUGAUCUUUGAUGUUAACAUUGUAAUUGUUUUGGGGUGCCACAACUGUGCCCAGAUAAGACAGUGAACUUAAUUGGUAAAUGUUUUAUGUGUUCAGACUGUUCCACUGACUAGCCCUUCUUCAAACUCUCUCACUCUCCUUGGGCCUCCCUAUUCCCUGAAAUACAACAAUAUUGAUAUUAAGCCAAUUAAUAACCCUACAAUGAUUUCCAAGUGUUUAAGUGAAAGGAAAGACAUGUAUGUUUCACCUUAAAUCAAAAGCUAGAAAUGGCCAGGCGUGGAGGCUCACGCCUGUAAUCCCAGCACUUUGGGAGGCCAAGGCGGGCGGAUCACAAGGUCAGGAGAUCGAGACCAUCCUGGCUAACACGGUGAAACCCUGUCUCUACUAAAAAAUACAAAAAAUUAGCCGGGCGUAGUGGCAGGCGCCUGUAGUCCCAGCUACAUGGGAGGCUGAGGCAGGAGAAUGGCGUGAACCUGGGAGGCGGAGCUUGCAGUGAGCCGAGAUCGCGCCACUGCAUUCCAGCCUGGGUGACAGAGCGAGACUCCAUCUCAAAAAAAAAAAAAAAAAAAAAAAAAGCUAGAAAUGACUAAGCUAAGCUAAGUGAGGAAGGCACGUCAAAAGCCCAGCGAGGCCUCUUGUGCCAGCCAGUUAGCCAAGUUGUGAAUGCAAAGGAAAAGUUCUUGAAGGAAAUUAAAGUGCCAUUCCAAUGAGCAUGUGAAUAAGAAAGCAAACAGCCUUAUUGCCGAUAUGGAGAAAGUUUUAGUGAUCUGGAUAGAAGAUCAAAUGUUUUCUUAAGCCACGAUAUUCCCUUAAACCAAAGCCUGCCUAAUCCAGAACUGGACCCUAACUCUCUUCAAUUCUAUGAAGGCUGAGAGAGAUGAGGAAGCUGCAGAAGAAAAGUGUGAAGCUAGCAGAGGUUGGUUCAUGAGGUUUAAGGAAAGAAGCUGUCUCCACAACACAAAAGUGCAAAGAGCAGCAAGUGCUGAUGGAGAAGCUGCAGCAAGUUAUCCAGAAGAUUAACUAAGAUCAUUGAUAAGAGUAGCUGCACUAAACAACAGAUUUUCCAUGUAGACAAAACAGCCUUAUAUUAGAAGAAGAUGGCAUCUAGGAAUUUUUUUUUUUUUGAGAUAGAGUCUCACUCUGUUGCCCAGGCUGGAGUACAGUGGGGCGGCCUCAGCUCACUGCAACCUCCGCCUCCUGGGUUCAGGUAAUUCUCCCUGCGCCAGCCUCCCAAGUAGCUGGGAUUACAGGCGCCCGCCACCAUGCCCAGCUAAUUUUUGUAUUUUUUAGUAGAGAUGGGGUUUCGCCAUGUUGGUCAGGCUGGUCUUGAACUCCUGACCUUAAGUGAUCUGCCUGCCUCGGCAUCCCAAAGUGCUGGGAUUACAGGCAUGAGCCACCGUGCCCGGCCAGCAUCUAGGAUUUUAAUAGCUGCAGAGGAGAAGUCAGUGCUUGGCUUCAAAGGUUCAAAGGACAGGUUGACUCUCUUGUUAGGAGCUAAUGCAGCUGGUGACUUUAAAUUGAAGCCAAUAUUCAUUUAUCAUUCUGAAAAUUCUAGGGUCCUUAAGAAUUAUGCCAAAUUCUGCUUGUGUUCUCUAAAUGGAACAACAAAGCCUGAAUGACAGCACAUCUGUUUACAGCAUGGUUUUCUGAACAUGUUAAGCCCACUGUUGAGACCUACUGCUCAGAAAAAAAGGUUCCUUUCAAAAUAUUACUGCUCAUUAACAAUGCACUUAGUCACCCAAGAGCUCUGAUGGCUAUGUACAAGGAGAUUAAUGUUGUUUUCAUGUCUGCUAACACAACAUACAUUCUGUAGCAGAUGGAUUAAGGAGUAAUUUAGACCUUCAAGUCCUAUUUUUUUAAAAAAUACAUUUUAUAAGGCUGCAAUGGAGCUAUUCCUUUGAUAGAUCUGGGCAAAGGAAAUUGAAAACCUUCUGGAAAGGAUUCACCAUUCUAAAUGACAUUAAGAACACUCAUGGUUAAUAGGAGGAGGUCAAAAUACCAACGUGGACUGUAAUCCCAGCAUUUUGGGAGGCCAAGGCGGGUGGAUCACUUGAGGUCAGGAGUUCAAGACCAGCCUGGCCAACAUGCUGAAAUCCUGUCUCUACUAAAAAUAUAAAACAUUAGCCGGGUGUGGUGGUGGGCGCUUGUAAUCCCAGUUACUUGGGAGGCUGAGGCAGGAGAAUCUCUUGAACCCAGAAGGUGGAGGUUGCAGUGAGCCGAGAUUGUGCCACUGCACUCCAGCCUGGGCAACGGAGUGAGACUCCAUCUCAAAAAACAAAACAAAACAAAACAAAACAAAUAAACAAACAAAAGACAAAAAAAAACCCAACAUUAACAGGAGUUGGGAAGAAAUUUGAUAUGGUUCAGAUCUGUGUCCCCACCCAAAUCUCAUGUCGAAUUGUAAUUCCCAGUGUUGGAGCUGGGGCCUGGAGGAAGGUGGUUGGAUAACGGGGGUGGUUUCUCAUGGCUUAACACCAUCCCCCUUAGUUGCCGUCAUCACAUACUUGUGAGAUCUGGUUGCUUAAAAAUGUGUAUCACCUCCUCCCCGCUCUCUUUCUCCUACUCUGGCCAUGUGAAAUUACUUGCUCUUCCUUCGCCUUCUGCCAUGAUUGGAAGCUUCCUGAGACCUCCCCGGAGGCUGAUGCUGCCGUGCUUCCUGUACAGCCUGCAGUACUGUGAGCCAAAUAAACCUCUUUUCUUUAUAUAUUACCCAGUCUCAGGCAUUUCUUUAUAG
RNAcentral lists this long non-coding RNA (5145 nucleotides) under Homo sapiens (human). Its description in RNAcentral is "HSALNT0285697". Lineage: Eukaryota; Metazoa; Chordata; Mammalia; Primates; Hominidae. The record is from RNAcentral.